Molecule: non-coding RNA, 66 nt
Organism: Podarcis lilfordi (Lilford's wall lizard)
Lineage: Eukaryota; Metazoa; Chordata; Lepidosauria; Squamata; Lacertidae
Source: the annotation of a GenBank genome assembly
AAAGCUCAGUGGUAGAACAUCUGCCUUGCAUGCAGAAGGACCCAGGUUCAGUCACAGGAAUCUCCA